AUUGAACGCUGGCGGCAGGCCUAACACAUGCAAGUCGAGCGGAUCGGAGGACGGGUGAGUAAUGCUUAGGAAUCUGCCUGGUCGUGGGGGAUAACGUUCGGAAACGGGCGCUAAUACUGCAUACUAUCAGAUGAGGCUAGGUCGGAUUAGCUAGUUGGUGGGGUAAAGGCCCACCAAGGCGACGAACCGUAACUGGUCUGAUUGGAGUAACAGUCACCCUGGAACUGAGACACGGUCCAGACUCCUACGGGAGGCAGCAGUGGGGAAGAUUGGACAAUGGGCGAAAGCCUGAUCCAGCCAUGCCGCGUGUAUGAAGAAGGUCUUCGGAUUGUAAAGCACUUUAAGUUGGGAGGCGUUACUAACAGAAUAAGCACCGGCUAACUUCGUGCCAGCAGCCGCGGUAAUAC
Molecule: ribosomal RNA, 407 nt
Filed under: uncultured bacterium
Lineage: Bacteria
Description: partial 16S ribosomal RNA
Rfam family: Bacterial small subunit ribosomal RNA
Source: RNAcentral